Molecule: ribosomal RNA, 498 nt
Filed under: uncultured bacterium
Lineage: Bacteria
Description: partial 16S ribosomal RNA
Rfam family: Bacterial small subunit ribosomal RNA
Source: RNAcentral
AUUGAACGCUGGCGGCAUGCUUUACACAUGCAAGUCGAACGGUAACAGGCCGCAAGGUGCUGACGAGUGGCGAACGGGUGAGUAAUGCAUCGGAACGCGCCCAGUCGUGGGGGAUAACGCAGCGAAAGCUGUGCUAAUACCGCAUACGAUCUAUGGAUGAAAGCGGGGGACCGUAAGGCCUCGCGCGAUUGGAGCGGCCGAUGUCAGAUUAGGUAGUUGGUGGGGUAAAGGCCCACCAAGCCAACGAUCUGUAGCUGGUCUGAGAGGGCGACCAGCCACACUGGGACUGAGACACGGCCCAGACUCCGACGGGAGGCAGCAGUGGGGAAUUAUGGAAAAUGGGCGCAAGCCGGAUCCAGCAAUGCCGCGUGCAGGAAGAAGGCCUUCGGGUUGUAAACUGCUAUUAUACGGAACGAAACGGUCUGGGUUAAUAGGCUGAGCUCAUGACGGUACCGUAAGAAUAAGCACCGGCUAACUACGUGCCAGCCGCCGCCGUAA